CUCCCGUGAUAUUUGUAACCGGGCUGAUGCCCGGCGGCCGGCGCCCUGGUGAAACGAAACCGUCCUUUACCGUGUGUCGAAUCAAAUCGGCAGGAACGGAGGAAUCAGUAGUUUACAAAUUCACGUCGUUUUCUCCGUGCGCUACCGAAAUAUCCACCGCGGCCAGCGCGGUUAAGAUAUCCUGCAGUAGUGGAGUCCACAUCGGGGCACCUGAAAAUCGAGGAACUCCCCGGCUUGUUUUUGCUCAGCUAGAUCACGAAUGGGAGCAUGGCUUCUUGCUAGUGGGGAUAAAAAGGGGGUCUUAUCUGCAGUCAUUUCCCUUUCCAACACCGCGC
Molecule: long non-coding RNA, 335 nt
Filed under: Setaria italica (foxtail millet)
Lineage: Eukaryota; Viridiplantae; Streptophyta; Magnoliopsida; Poales; Poaceae
Description: long non-coding RNA (SITA_LNC003900)
Source: RNAcentral